This 720-nucleotide ribosomal RNA is filed under the name uncultured bacterium. RNAcentral's name for it is "bacterial SSU rRNA". It matches the Rfam family "Bacterial small subunit ribosomal RNA", at positions 129 to 865 of the family's 1533-position model. The record is from RNAcentral.
CCCUCGGGUUCGGGAUAACAGUUCGAAAGGGCUGCUAACACCCGGGAUGAACUUGCGGGGAGGCAUCUUUCUGCAAGCAAAGUUUACGCCCGGGGAUGAGCCCGCGUCCCAUUAGCUAGUUGGCGGGGUAACGGCCUACCAAGGCGACGAUGGGUAGCCGGACUGAGAGGUUGGCCGGCCACACUGGGACUGAGACACGGCCCAGACUCCUACGGGAGGCAGCAGUAGGGAAUUUUCGGCAAUGGGGGAAACCCUGACCGAGCGACGCCGCGUGAGGGACGAAGGCCUUCGGGUUGUAAACCUCUGUCUUCGGGGACGAAAGAUGACGGUACCCGAGGAGGAAGCCACGGCUAACUACGUGCCAGCAGCCGCGGUAAGACGUAGGUGGCGAGCGUCGUCCGGAAUUACUGGGCGUAAAGGGCGUGUAGGCGGCCUUUUAAGUCAGGCGUGAAAACUCUGGGCUCAACCCAGAGACUGCGCUUGAGACUGGGGGGCUUGAGGACAGGAGAGGGAAGCGGAACUCCGUGUGUAGCGGUGAAAUGCGUAGAUAUACGGAAGAACACCAGUGGCGAAGGCGGCUUCCUGGACUGUCCCUGACGCUGAGGCGCGAAAGCCAGGGGAGCGAACGGGAUUAGAUACCCCGGUAGUCCUGGCUGUAAACGAUGGGUACUAGGUGUGGGGGGUAUCGACCCCCUCCGUGCCGGAGUUAACACAAUAAGU